RNAcentral lists this long non-coding RNA (598 nucleotides) under Homo sapiens (human). RNAcentral's name for it is "HSALNT0108885". Lineage: Eukaryota; Metazoa; Chordata; Mammalia; Primates; Hominidae. The record is from RNAcentral.
UUCCAGUUGAAAACUUCUUUAGCAGUGUUCUGAAAGAGGUAAAAAUUCUACCCUAUCUAAAGCACAUCUAGGGACUGAAUUUCAGAAACAACUAAAAUAGGGAGUUGACUCCCUAACAAAUAACAACUAAGGAUGAUUUUCAACAAAUGCUGUUGGAUUUCUGGAUUAGCAGAAUCGGAACACACACACAUUAUCAGUUGAAUUCACAGAUGUGACACCCGCAGAUAAGGAAGGCCUGCUGUACAUGAAUUCUUCCUGUGUCUCUUCUGCAAAAAAACCUGCCAUAGCCAUCUGUACUGUCAUGGAUAACCUAGGGCUUACCUAUACCACACAUCUCAUUCUCCUUACAAUUUAGUUUUAAUAUAAGAAGAAGCUGCAUUCGACUAUGUUGCCACCUAAAUUUUCUUAUCAAAAACUCCUCAUCCAACCAUCCUUUUCUUACCUGUGAUGCCUAAGCUCAAAUACGGCUGUUUUUGAGUGUGUAAGGUAAAUAAAGGAGGACCUGCCUCACAACUGAUGAUUGCCUUCUCUGUAGUAACUUGUCAACUUACAUUCAUCACUAUUCAAUAAGAUAACAGUUUGUGAUUUUUCAGUACCC